CUUCCUGGAAUUGCUCAAUGUGAAAUUUAUUUUUUUUGUAAUUACAAUUAUGUACCGCAAUUUUUUCCACAGGAUGGGAUGAAGGUGUGUUGGGAAUGCAAGUGGGAGAAGUUGCUCGAUUACAGUGCUCUCCCGACUAUGCCUAUGGUCCUGGUGGAUUUCCAGCAUGGGGCAUUCAGCCUAACUCAGUUCUGGUUUUUGAGAUUGAAGUUUUAAGUUUGGAGUGACCAGCAUAUCAUAUUUUAUCAAGUGGCUGAGGAGUUUAGUUAUUUAUGUUUAAUAAUGAUGAUCGUUGAACAUGAUAUGACUUGUUUGAGAAUUGAUCUUGGUUGAUGCUGUUGUUCUGAUCAUGCACGAAGGAGUUUUCUUAAAACUUGAGCUGUACUUUUAAGCAGUCAUCUAUUGAUCUUGGUUUUGACAUUUCGGUUCUGGAAGAACUAGAUCCUUAGCAGUUUUCAGGGGACAUGUUAGUUUAAAGAAAUGUGUAUUAGGUGUUAAGAUUUAA
This is a long non-coding RNA of Olea europaea var. sylvestris, 505 nucleotides long. RefSeq lists it as uncharacterized. The transcript is spliced from 2 exons. The record is from RefSeq and is a predicted model, not a curated record. NCBI's taxonomy places the organism in Eukaryota, Viridiplantae, Streptophyta, Magnoliopsida, Lamiales, Oleaceae.